UUGAGGCUAUAGGUGAUUUUUCUUGAGGCUUUCGAAGAAGCUACAAGGGCGUUCUCAGCUGAUAGAUAUCCUACAGCACACACUUUUUUGGAUAAUGUUCUUUGCAUUCAUGAAGCUUUAAAAAAUUCAGAAAUGCAAGCUAAUGAAGCCAUACAAAAUUUGGGUAGAGCAAUGGAAAGCAAAUUCAGCAAGUAUUGGGAUGGGAACUAUAAUAUGACCCUUGUUAUUGCAACGGUACUUGAUCCAAGAAAGAAGAUGGACUUCUUGGAAUUCUUUUAUCAGAGGGUGUGCAACUACUUUGUUGAUAUUGAGACAAGCAUGACUUCAGCUAGAGAAUGGAUGACUAAGUAUUUUAGGAAAUAUGAAGAGAUUGUUAGGACAAAUGGUGUAGAUCUAGUGUAUACUACUGGUAUCUAGAGGCAUUAUGGGUUCGCCUGUGCUAGCUAAAAGAAGAAUGCACCAAGAGUUUGCCCACUUUAGAAAUCAAAAGAGAGCUAGCAAUUCUCAAAAAUCAGAACUUGAUGCAUAUCUGGAAGAUGAACAUGUGAGAGAUGAUAAAAACUUUGAGAUCUUGAGUUGGUGGAAGACAAAUAAAGACAAGUAUCAUGUCCUAUCAACCAUGGCACGAGACUUCCUUGCAAUUCCAUUGAGCAUUGUGUCUUCCGAGUCCGCAUUUAGUUUGAGUGACCGGAUUCUUAGUGAUAAUCGGAGUUCAAUGACACCUGAAACCCUUGAAGCCCUUGUUUGUGUUAAGGAUUGGCUGUAUAAGCUCCCAGGCAAUGAAGACUGCUCUCUGAUUGUGGUUGACUAGCACAGGUCAGUACAUUAUUGGUUACUAGAGGGGGCAAACUUGUAUCUCUGUUUACCAUUAUUGUGCUGUAAAGUUUUUUUUCUUUUGUUGCAUUUACCUGAACUGUCAAUGCUUUGAUUUUAUCUGUUCUCAAUGCUAUCAUUGCUUGCUGUAAAUCUGUAGGUUCCUAUAUUUCCAAUUGUGAUAAUUUGAAUCAUGUCUGAAUUGUCAGGGCCAGCAGCAGGAACUAAGGGUUCAAAGAAGGUUGUCCAACAGUCUCCAAGGGCUCAGGUUCAGUGGAAGAUAUCAUGUUCGAUAGCAUGAAGUAUGAAGAAAAUGGAUCCAAUCAAUGAGGACCUCUUGAUGCUCGAUACAAAUUGUCUAGUAAAGCUAGUGUUUAUCAGACCAAAAGACAGCUAGUGUUUACUGACUUCUGCAAUAAUUGGCAUGUAACAACUAUAAACUAUGUUUGACUUUGGUAGAGGCUAAAUGUUCCUGACGAUGCAUUAGUAUAACUUGUCUGUGUUAUGUGUGUAACAUUUGUUUGGCAGAAACUAAGUGAGAUGACAUAUUGACAUGUAAGAACUAUAAACGUGGCUUGCUUGUUUGUGUGUAACUUAUGUUAGCCUUGCUUGUUUGUGUGUAA
Molecule: long non-coding RNA, 1436 nt
Organism: Panicum virgatum (switchgrass)
Lineage: Eukaryota; Viridiplantae; Streptophyta; Magnoliopsida; Poales; Poaceae
Exons: 2
Source: RefSeq, a predicted model, not a curated record